This 142-nucleotide ribosomal RNA is filed under the name uncultured eukaryote. RNAcentral's name for it is "partial 18S ribosomal RNA". It matches the Rfam family "Eukaryotic small subunit ribosomal RNA", at positions 1299 to 1458 of the family's 1831-position model. The record is from RNAcentral.
UGGUGGAGUGAUUUGUCUGGUUUAUUCCGUUAACGAACGAGACCUCGACCUGCUAAAUAGUACUGCUUAUUGCUCGCAAUAAUGCAGAGACUUCUUAGAGGGACUAUCGGUGGUUAGCCGGUGGAAGUUCGAGGCAAUAACA